This 19-nucleotide small nuclear RNA is filed under the name Arabidopsis thaliana (thale cress). RNAcentral's name for it is "snRNA_16899". The record is from RNAcentral. Lineage: Eukaryota; Viridiplantae; Streptophyta; Magnoliopsida; Brassicales; Brassicaceae.
UGGGGGCGCAACGCCCUCG